Molecule: small nuclear RNA, 106 nt
Organism: Cervus hanglu yarkandensis (Yarkand deer)
Lineage: Eukaryota; Metazoa; Chordata; Mammalia; Artiodactyla; Cervidae
Source: Ensembl
GUGCUCACUUCAGCAGCACCUAUACUAAAACUGGAAUGAUAUGGAGAAGGUUAGCAAGGCCCUGUGCCAGGAUUUAGCUAUGUACUGUGUAAAACGUAAUUCUUAA